RNAcentral lists this ribosomal RNA (466 nucleotides) under uncultured bacterium. Its description in RNAcentral is "partial 16S ribosomal RNA". It matches the Rfam family "Bacterial small subunit ribosomal RNA", at positions 28 to 507 of the family's 1533-position model. The record is from RNAcentral.
GAUGAACGCUGGCGGCGUGCUUAACACAUGCAAGUCGAACGGAAAGGCUCCUGCUUGCAGGGGUACUCGAGUGGCGAACGGGUGAGUAACACGUGGGUGAUCUGCCCUGCACUUCGGGAUAAGCCUGGGAAACUGGGUCUAAUACCGGAUAGGACGAUGGUUUGGAUGCCAUUGUGGAAAGUUUUUUCGGUGUGGGAUGAGCUCGCGGCCUAUCAGCUUGUUGGUGGGGUAAUGGCCUACCAAGGCGUCGACGGGUAGCCGGCCUGAGAGGGUGUACGGCCACAUUGGGACUGAGAUACGGCCCAGACUCCUACGGGAGGCAGCAGUGGGGAAUAUUGCACAAUGGGCGCAAGCCUGAUGCAGCGACGCCGCGUGGGGGAUGACGGCCUUCGGGUUGUAAACUCCUUUCGCUAGGGACGAAGCGCAAGUGACGGUACCUGGAGAAGAAGCACCGGCUGACUACGUG